This 440-nucleotide ribosomal RNA is filed under the name uncultured bacterium. RNAcentral describes it as "partial 16S ribosomal RNA". It matches the Rfam family "Bacterial small subunit ribosomal RNA", at positions 338 to 795 of the family's 1533-position model. The record is from RNAcentral.
CCUACGAGAGGCAGCAGUGGGGGAUAUUGCACAAUGGGGGAAACCCUGAUGCAGCGACGCCGCGUGAGCGAUGAAGUAUUUCGGUAUGUAAAGCUCUAUCAGCAGGGAAGAAAAUGACGGUACCUGACUAAGAAGCCCCGGCUAACUACGUGCCAGCAGCCGCGGUCAUACGUAGGGGGCAAGCGUUAUCCGGAUUUACUGGGUGUAAAGGGAGCGUAGACGGCAGUGCAAGUCUGGAGUGAAAGGCAAGGGGUCAACCCUUGGACUGCCUUGGAAACUGUGGUGCGUGAGUGUCGGAGAGGCAAGUGGAAUUCCUGGUGUAGCGGUGAAAUGCGUAGAUAUUAGGAGGAACACCAGUGGCGAAGGCGGCUUGCUGGACGAUGACUGACGUUGAGGCUCGAAAGCGUGGGGAGCAAACAGGAUUAGAUACCCCAGUAGUC